Molecule: long non-coding RNA, 9056 nt
Filed under: Malus domestica (apple)
Lineage: Eukaryota; Viridiplantae; Streptophyta; Magnoliopsida; Rosales; Rosaceae
Description: long non-coding RNA (MDOM_LNC009293)
Source: RNAcentral
UUGAAGGGAUGCUGCCCUCAAGAUUAUUUCCUUGCAAUAAGAGUAUUGUUAACAUUUUCAAAUUUCCUAGAGAGGAUGGGAUGCUCCCUGAUAAUUGAAUGUUUUGAAGACCUAAUCGCCCAAGCUUUGAGAGUUUCCCAAUGUCGGUUGGAAUGUUACCUGUGAAGUGGUUGUUCCCCAUACCCAAUGAUUCUAAGUUAACGAAGUUCUACAAAUUUGGCACUUGUCCAAUGAGUUCAUUCUCUGAAACAUCGAAUUCCGCUAGAUUUUUGACAUUGGAUAUCGAGAGAGGAAUGGAACCAGUAAAUUUGUUCCCAUUGAAGUAAAAGUACUGGAGAUUAGCAAGAGUGUUGCCCAAGUAUGAGGAAAUACUCCCUUGAAGUUGGUUUUGGGACAAGUCAUACCCAACGAGAGCAGAGAGGUUACAAAUAGAUGGAGGAACAACACCAGAUAAUGCACAUGAAGCCAAUGAGAUAUAAGUUAAAUUUCUCAAUUGGCCUAGAGAACUAGGGAUGCUUCCUUCCAAAUUAUUACCAUUCAAACGAAAUAUCUUUGAAGACAAGAGGUUGGCAAACGAAGGAGGGAUUUCUCCAGUUAAAUCGUUCACUUGCAACACAAGUAAUUGAAGCUUAGAUAAGGUGGAAAUUUCUGGUGGAAUUUUCCCCACCAGGUUGUUGUAACCAACAUUGAGAUUAAUGAGGUUGAAGCAGCUAGAUACAUUGACAGGAAUAGGGCCGAUAAGCGAGUUAUUGUCUAAACGCAGUCCUGCAAUCUGUGCAAACGGCCAAUUUCUGGAGGGAUUUUGUCACUGAAGCUAUUGUUUUGGAGGUGAAGUGCCCUCAAGAAGCUUAGGUUCCCUAUCUGUUGGGGUAGGGACCCCACUAAAUUUUGAGACUUUAGGUCUAACACGAACUCCGCCGUGUAAGUUUAUCUUACAUUGCCGGUCCUAAGCCCGGAUAAAGGAGGAGGGGGAGGGCGUCAGGUAGUCGACAGCCGGCACUCCAUGAUCACGUCGAAUCCUUAUGAAAAUGAAUCCAGAACGAAUCGCGCUAAAGCUAGGGCGUCACCCGUAAGUGGCGCGCUGUGUGGCCCGAGCACAGUGAUAAGUGAGCAAGGGUCGCUGUAUCUCCAUCGGCACCCGGAUGCAGUGUUAAAUGAGCAAGGGGGCUAUAGAAACUUCUUUUCGAACAACUCCACUCAAAGUUGUUUGGGAGCAUAUGCUCCUAUCAACUUUACACGGGACACACAAAAGAAGUACUUUGAUCCUAUUAGACGGGGAAGGGUGAAGAAGCUAGGACAGAAGGGUAGAGUUCAAGAGAGCAAAAUGCGGUUAGGAACGUGGAAUAUAGGAACCUUGACGGGAAAAUCUAUGGAAGUAGUAGAAGUUAUGGUGAGGAGAAGGAUAAAUAUUAUGUGCCUACAAGAAACUAAGUGGGUUGGUCGUAAGGCAAAGGAUCUAGAAAACUCAGGGUUUAAACUAUGGUAUUCGAGCACAAAUAGAACGAGAAAUGGUGUUGGCAUCAUCGUGGACAAGACCUUGACACAAGAUGUUGUAGAUGUCAAGAGGGUAGGAGAUAGAAUCAUGGCAAUCAAGAUUGUAAUAGGACAAGAACUUAUCAAUGUGAUUAGUGCGUACGCACCUCAAGUAGGGUUGGAUACGAGUUCGAAGGAGAAAUUUUGGGAAGACCUUGGAGACUUGGUGCAAGGAAUUGCUCAGACGGAGAAGUUAUUUAUAGGAGGAGAUUUAAAUGGACACGUGGGCAGGGAGACAGGCAACUAUGGAGGUUUUCAUGGUGGCCAUGGUUUUGGGGAGAGAAACGAGGAUGGGGAAGCUAUCUUGGAUUUUGCAAUGGCAUAUGAUCUCUUCUUAGCCAACACCUUCUUUAAGAAGAGAGAAGAACAUGUGAUCACCUACAAGAGUGGGUCGUCAAAAACACAAAUAGAUUUUCUUCUAAUGAGGAAAGAGGAUCGUAUAACUUGUAAGGAUUGCAAAGUUAUACAAGGAGAGAGCGUGGCUAAUCAACAUCGCUUGUUGGUGAUGGAUGUACAUAUCAAAAGAGUGAGAAAAAAGAACAAGACUUGGAAGUGCCCAAGGACUAGAUGGUGGAAUCUAAAAGAAGAAAAACAAGCCAUUUUCAAAGAGAAAGUAAUCACCCAGUGUGUGUGGGAUAGAGAGGGGGAAGCUAACCAAAUGUGGGAUUCCAUGGCUAGUUGUAUCCGAAAAGUAGCAAAAGAGGUAUUAGGAGAGUCCAAGGGCUUUGCCCCACACCAAAAAGAAUCUUGGUGGUGGAAUGAGGAGGUACAAACAAAGGUGAAGGCUAAGAAGGAAUGUUGUAAAGCCUUAUACAAGGAUAGGACCGAUGAAAAUGGUGAAAGGUAUAGAAAAGCGAAGCAAGAGGCGAAGAAAGCUGUGAGAGAAGCUAAGUUAGCGGCUUAUGACGAUAUGUAUAAGCGACUAGAUACCAAAGAAUAAGAGUUGGAUAUCUAUAAACUAGCUAGAGCAAGGGAAAAGAAGACAAGGGACCUAAACCAAGUGAGGUGCAUCAAGGAUGAGGAUGGAAAGGUUCUUGCUACAGAGAACGCGGUUAAAGACAGAUGGAAAGGUUAUUUUCAUAAUCUUUUCAAUGAAGGACAUGAAAGGAGUGCUUCUUUAGGGGAGUUGAGUAACUCAGAAGAGUGUAGAAACUACUCUUUUUAUCGUAGAAUCCGGAAGGAAGAAGUGGUUGUAGCUUUGAAGAAGAUGAAGCAUAGAAAAGCAGUAGGCCCAGACGAUAUACCAAUCGAAGUGUGGAAAGUUUUGGGAGAGACAGGUAUAACAUGGUUCACUGACCUUUUCAAUAGGAUUUUGAAAACGAAGAAGAUGCCAAAUGAGUGGCGAAUGAGCACUUUUGGUGCCUAUCUACAAGAAUAAGGGCGAUGUACAAAAUUGCAUGAACUAUAGGGGUAUUAAGCUAAUGAGUCAUACAAUGAAGCUUUGGGAGAGAGUCAUUGAGCAUAGAUUGAGGCAAGAGACACGGGUUUCGGACAACCAAUUCGGGUUCAUGCCAGGGCGCUCAACCAUGGAGGCAAUCUAUCUCUUAUGAAGAUUGAUGGAAAGAUAUAGAGAUGGGAAAAAGGAUUUACACAUGGUCUUUAUAGAUUUGGAAAAAGCGUAUGAUAGGGUCCCAAGAGACAUUCUUUGGAGGAUUUUAGAGAAGAAAGGAGUACGAGUAGCAUAUAUCCAAGCUAUACAGGAUAUGUAUGAAGGAGCAAAGACUGCCGUAAGAACUCAUGAAGGACAAACCGAAAGCUUUCCCAUAACUGUAGGAUUACAUCAAGGUUCAUCCUUAAGUCCUUACCUUUUUGCGUUGGUAAUGGAUGAGUUAACAGGACAUAUUCAAGAUGAUAUUCCUUGGUGUAUGCUUUUCGCAGACGAUAUAGUGUUGAUAGAUGAAACUCAGGAAGGGGUAAAUGCAAAGCUUAACCUUUGGAGAGAAGUGUUGGAAUCUAAAGGUCUUCGCCUAAGCCGAUCAAAGACAGAAUAUAUGGAGUGCAAGUUCAGUGCAAAUGGAGGCCAAAACGAGUUAGGGGUGAGGAUCGGAGAUCAAGAAAUACCAAAGAGCGACCGUUUUCGUUACCUAGGAUCUAUCUUGCAAAAGAACGGAGAAUUAGAUGGAGAUCUCAACCGUAGAAUACAAGCUGGAUGGAUGAAGUGGAAGAGUGCAUCCGGCGUGUUGUGUGACCGCCGUAUGCCACUGAAGCUCAAGGGAAAAUUUUAUAGGACGGCAAUAAGGCCGGCGAUGCUGUAUGGCACAGAAUGUUGGGCGGUGAAGCAUCAACAAGUACACAAAAUGGGUGUAGCGGAGAUGAGGAUGCUUCGUUGGAUGUGUGGGCACACGAGAAAGGAUAAGAUUAGGAAUGAGGAUAUCCGGGGUAAAGUAGGAGUAGCCGAAAUUGAAGGAAAGAUGAGAGAAAAUCGGUUACGGUGGUUUGGACAUGUGCAAAGAAGGCCUACUGACGCUCCGAUUAGAAGAUGCGACUAUAGGACAGAGGUUCAGGGCCGAAGGGGUAGAGGAAGACCUAGGAAAACUUUGGAAGAGACCCUAAAAAAAGACUUAGAGUACUUGGAUCUAACGGAGGACAUGACACAGGACAGAACACAAUGGCGUUCUAAGAUUCAUAUAGCCAAUCCCACUCAGUGACUUGGAUUUUCCAAGUCUCCAACCGAGAAGUUUUCCUCACUCGGGAAAUUAAGGGAACACUACCUCAACCUACAUGCUCCACUCACAAAGCUUCAACAUACAAGCUUCAACAAAAAAAAAAUUCAAAGAACUUAGCGAAGAAGGCUUUGGUGUAUUUAACACAAUACGUUAAAAUGAAGGAAAGCUUAUUUAUUGAUAUCCCCGAUAAGUUACAAAUAUGUACAUAUACUUGAGUCAAAAUAAACAAACAAGAGGGAGCCUUCACAAAGGUUGCUUAGGAGAAGUCUCAGCAGUCGGUAGAGCCCCAGAAAGAGAAGGCACCGGAGGGGGAUCAUUCGGAGCCUCAGUACUGGACAAAACCCUAGAAGGAGGAGGCAUCAGAGGUUGAUCAUUUGGAGCUUCAUUACGCGGUGUAGCCCCAGAAGACGAAGGCAAUAAAUGCCUUUGGAACAAACCCACAAAUCUCUGAUGAUCAAGUAAAACCUGACCAUCAGAUUCCUUCAUCUGGUCAAGCUUCCUCUUCAUGUUUGUAGCAUAGUCAUGUGCGAGCCGGUGCAACUGUUUAUUCUCAUGCUUGAGCCCUCUAAUCUCCUGUUUGAGACUCAUCACUUCAGCCGCCAAUGAUUCAACUUGGCGGGUUCGAGCAAAUAGGCGUUGGGCCAUAUUAGACACAGAACCUGCACACUUAACACUGAGAGCCAGAGAAUCCUUAACAGCCAACUCAUCAGACCGUUUGGAAAGUAGUCUGUUAUCUUUGGGAGUGAGAAGGUUCCUGGCCACUACCGCAGCGAUCAUAUCAUUCUUUAUCACGGAAUCCCCAACGGUAAGAGGACCAGUAGGGGAGACGAAGGAUGGGCGCCAUAUGUUGUCUGGAGAAGGCGGGGCUGCCUCUUCAACAAGGUUCAAGUCAAAACGACGGUCGGAGGGGCCAGACAUUUUCAAAGGUGUUGAAGAGAGAAGAGGUCGGACAAAUCAAGAUCUUAGAAGUGCAAGAAUGGAGCUUCUACUGGUGGAUAUUCAAGUGUGCUUUGGAACUUAAUGUCAGCCCCUAUAAAAAUCUACACUCGACGAAGCUUCAGAAAUCGAAGAGGCGCCUGCUCAGAAAUCGAAGAGGCGUUUGCUUUCUCAAAAGCUGGGCUGCUCAGAGACCACGAGGGUCGAUCUCAGAAAUCGAAGAGGCGUUUGCUUUCUCAAAAGCUGGGCUGCUCAAAGACCACGAAGGCCGAUCUCAGAAAUCGAAGAGGUUUGCUUUCUCAAAAGCUGGGCUGCUAAGAGACCACGAGGGCCGAUCUCAGAAAUCGAAGAGGCACCUACUUUUCCAGCCUUGUCAGCACCUGUCACACGCAUACUCAGCUUUGCGGAAAUUAUGGGCAUUCUGUCGAAGAUUUCUAGCGAAGUAGAAAGCACAUGAAUCGUACUGUUCAAUCACCCACUUCCCACACGCAACAGUAACUCAUGGGUACCACAGAUAACUUUGCCAAAGUUCUCUGACAAAGUUGUGACACGUGAAGCUUGCAGCUCCCGCUACAUCGCUCUGACCAAGAAGGGUAAAAGAAUUGCAAAGAAACAACACUAACAAAGUUUAGACACAUAAAUUUUGAAGGUCUAGCUACCAUAUUAUUACCCACAAGGGUAAAGGAACAGUACCACUGCUGGAUAAUUGGAAAGUCCCGGUGUGUCAACUUCUGUGCUUCGUGGUAAGGUAGACUAGCAAACAUGCCCAACCUUUACUCACAUUCGAGAAAACACUCCCAACAUGAUUGCUUUCUCCAAAAUCGAAGAGGCACCGCCCUCCGAAUCUCGAGAGCCAGACUCCCAACAUGAUUACUUUCUCAAAAUCGAAGAGAGGGUAAAGGAACAGUACCACUGCUGGAUAAUUGGAAAGUCCCUGUGUGUCAACCUUUGUGCUUCGUGGCAAGGUAGACUAGCAAACAUGCCCAACCUUUACUCACAUUCGAGAAAACACUCCCAACAAGAUUGCUUGCUCCAAAAUCGAAGAGGCACCGCCCUCCGAAUCUCGAGAGCCAGACUCCCAACAUGAUUACUUUCUCAAAAAUCGAAGAGAGGGUAAAGGAACAGUACCACUGCUGAAUAAUGGGAAAGUCCCUGUGUGUCAACCUCUGUGCUUCGUGGCAAGGUAGACUAGCAAACAUGCCCAACCUUUACUCACAUUCGAGAAAAACACCCCAACAAGAUUGCUUGCUCCAAAAUCGAAGAGGCACCGCCCUCCGAAUCUCGAGAGCCAGACUCCCAACAUGAUUACUUUCUCAAAAAUCGAAGAGACACCGCUCUCCGAAUCUCGAGAGCCAGACCCCCAGCAGGAUUGCUUUCUCAAAAAUCGAAGAGGCAUCGUUCUCCGAAUCUCGAGAGCCAGAUCCCCGACAGGAUUGCUUGUUCGAAAACCGAAGAGGCACCACUUUCCCAACUUCAAGAGCUGGAUCUCCUUGGAUAAAGCUUGUCUGUAAUCUUCACACGCAACAUCAGCUUUCCAGAUACCACAGACCACUUUUUCAAAGUGCUCUGACAGAGUUAAAACAUGUGAAGCUGGCAGCUCCCACUAUCGUGCUAUGACCAAGCAGGGUAAAGGAAUAGCAUUAUUACUUGAUGUUAGGGAGACUCCUAUAUAUGUCGACCUCCAUCCCUAACGGACAGGCAGACCUGCAAAAAUGCCCAACCCUUUCUCUUAUCUGAGAGGGCACUCCCAACGAAGCCUUUCGAAAUAUUCAGCUUUCUUUCCCCCCGAUAAUACCUUUGUAAACAAGCUAUACUAGAGCAAGAAUAUCUCAUAUCAUCAGGGUUAAAAGCAAGAGUAUCCCAUAUCAUGCUUUUUCCCUGUCUUUUCCUUUAGCCUUGUUCUUAUCUGCAAGACAAGGAGAAAGAGAGCAAUCAAUCAGCACUUGGAAUCAAGCUUCCAGCCAAGAACUGACUGCCUGGAACCCCUUACCUGAUUACUUACCUGGCAUUGCUCUCGAGUACUCAUCUUCAACAUCUUAUGCUUCCAGGGAAGAUACCGCAUCUGCCUGAGGAACAGAUAGGGCAAGUGAGAAGGAUACAAGGAAGCAUGUGGAGACAAGCGUAACAGCACACGUGCCGAUACAUCCACUACUCUGUCAAAAGCAAAAGUAUCCCAUAUCAGCAGGGUCGAACGUACUCUAGAUUUGAUGGACUUGUUUUGACCCUCAAAUUCUUCAGUCGGCCUUAUACUCUGGAGGAAACCAGAAAACCCUCCAGCCCGGUUCAAGAAUAAGCCUGUGGAAAGUUACUUCUUCAAAAGCAAAAGUAUCCCAUAUCAUUUCUUCUCAUUUUUCUUCUCUUUAUCCUUCAUGCUGCCUGCAAGAUAGGGAGAAUGUGAACAAUCAGCCGGAGCUCUGAUUGCUUACCUUGUCUGUCACCUCUUUCAGCAGAUCCCCUAGCCCGGCGACUUGGGGGACUCCUACUACAUGGUUUGUAUCGCGCUUGACCAAGCCUGAAACUACAAGUAAGCUUCAAGUGAAAUUGAUACAUUACCUUGUGCAUCUCCACCAGUUACAGAUACCACCCCUGGAUGGAGGAAGAGUACUUCCAGAGAAGAUGCCACAUCUACCUAUGAGACAGAUAAGGCAAGUCAAGACGAUACCACACUCCGGUACUUAGAAGUUUCGUGGUUACGAGAUCAUUCUCCCACAAUAUUUCCUAAUGUCAUUUGUACUAAAUCAUUCACUUGUACUCACUAAAGGAGAGCUUGAACCUAUGUACUUGUGUAAACCCUUCACAUUAAUGAGAACUCCUCUAUUCCGUGGACGUAGCCAAUCUGGGUGAACCACGUACAUCUUGUGUUUGCUUUCCUAUCUCUAUCCAUUUAUAUACUUAUCCACAUUAAUGACCGGAGCAAUCUAGCGAAGAUCACAAAAAGUGACCGUUUUCGCUACCUAGGAUCUAUCUUGCAAGAGAACGGAGAAUUAGAUGGAGAUCUCAACCAUAGAAUACAAGCUGGAUGGAUGAAGUGUAAGAGUGCAUCCGGCGUGUUGUGUGACCGGCGUAGGCCACUGAAGCUCAAGGGAAAAUUUUAUAGGACGGCAAUAAGGCCAGCGAUGUUGUAUGGCACAGAAUGUUGGGCGGUGAAGCAUCAACACGUACACAAAAUGGGUGUAGCGGAGAUGAGGAUGCUUCGUGGGAUGUAUGGGCACACGAUAAAGGAUAAGAUUGGGAAUGAGGAUAUCCGAGGUAAAGUAGGAGUAGCCAAAAUUGAAGAAAAUAUGAGAGAAAAUCGGUUACAGUGGUUUGGACAUGUGCAAAGAAGGCCUACUGACGCUCCGGUUCGAAAAUGUGACUACGGGACAGAGGUUCGGGGCCGAAGGGGUAGAGGAAGACCUAGGAAAACUUUGGAAGAGACCCUAAGAAAAGACUUGAGUACUUGGAUCUAACGGAGGACAAGACACAAAACCGAGCGCAAUGGCGUUCUAGGAUUCAUAUAGCCGACCCCACUUAGUGGGAAAAUGCUUUGUUGUUGUUGUUGUAGGUCUAACACGGUGACCCUCUGGUGCUGUUGUGGACUGCAGGCGACUCCAUGCCAUUGACAAAAGUGAACCGAAUCAUUCCAUGAGCUUAUGACCCUGUGAGGGUCCUGCUUUAUUUGAGCUCUGAUGGCUAGCAGUGCUAGCCUAUCUGUCUCAUUCCCUUGCUCUGAGCUCCAACAGCACAAUAGUGCAGUGAAAAAUGAGCAUGUUAAGAUCAAUAUGUGAAAAAAAGUGACCAUUUUAGAGAGAGAGAGAGAGAGAGAGAGAGAGAGAGAGAGAGAGAGAUUGGGUUGAGAUGUGAAAAUGGUAAGUUUGAUUUCAAACUAGGCAUGAAAUGCUAAUUUGAACCGUCUUGUUCUCUCUGUCACUUAAUACCUAA